ACGAAAGGUGCGAGCGUUAAUCGGAAUUACUGGGCGUAAAGCGCGCGUAGGCGGUUUGCUAAGUCAGAUGUGAAAGCCCCGGGCUCAACCUGGGAACUGCGUCUGUAACUGGCAGGCUAGAGUGCGGUAGAGGGGGGUGGAAUUCCCGGUGUAGCAGUGAAAUGCGUAGAGAUGUGGAGGAACACCGAUGGCGAAGGCAGCCCCCUGGGCCGACACUGACGCUCAUGCAAGAAAGCGUGGGGAGCAAACAG
This 251-nucleotide ribosomal RNA is filed under the name uncultured prokaryote. RNAcentral's name for it is "partial 16S ribosomal RNA". It matches the Rfam family "Bacterial small subunit ribosomal RNA", at positions 525 to 775 of the family's 1533-position model. The record is from RNAcentral.